Long non-coding RNA from Physella acuta, 397 nucleotides. RefSeq lists it as uncharacterized. Lineage: Eukaryota; Metazoa; Mollusca; Gastropoda; Physidae. The record is from RefSeq and is a predicted model, not a curated record.
AAGCAUUCUGUGUGCAGCUGUCGACGAGAAAACACGAACAUGUUGAACAUUAAAGGUGUUGUGUUCCUGAUGGUAAUGCUUGCAACAGCCACUUCGUUCAUGUUGAACAACAGAGCGGAACAGCUAGAGAAACGUAACUGCCUGAGAUAUUUGGAUAGUUGUGCUCAUACCAAAUUAAAAUGUUGCCAGGGAUAUAAAUGCAGUCUCUUCUUUCGGGAAAUGGCCUGGUGUGGUUAAUAGAAGUGGCCGCCAAAUGCAAAUGUGGUUGCAAUAUUCUGAUUUUUGGCAUCAAUCAAGAGCGCAAUCAACUUUAGUGUGUUGCAUUUUUUUUUUCUGGAAGGAUUUACUAAAAGAAAAAAUGUUUUGGGCUUUAUUAAAUAGUGAUUAAACUAAUAAA